GGGGGUAAUUUUGAAACAUUAGAGAAAAAACCACAAAAAACCCUAAACCACAAAAAACCCUAAAAACCUAACUCUUUCUGCCUACUCACCCAAGCAGCCGCCGUUCCCCGGGGUCCUUGGCUUUUGCUCUCCCAGAACCAGAGAGCCAAGGACCCCCCGCCAUUUGAAAUCAGCCCUUCUCCCCCUUUGGCCGCUCAUCCUUUGGAAACCAGAGCUCCCCUUCUCCUCUCACGGCCCCCAAAAACAUUUUGUCCUUCUCACAGCCGACCCCAACAGCCCCAUCGCCGGCCUCCCCCGACUAUCCCCUACAGACCCGAACCAGAACCUCCACAUCCACCGACAGUACCACCCCCCGGUUCUCUCUUCGCCCUCACAAAGCAACCUCCCUUUUCCCUCUCCAUCGCCUUCCCCUUUCAGUUCCUUUUCUCAGCCGACCCAUCGGUUUUCCCAAACCAGAGAGCCUUCACGCUCCCCUUCGACAUCAGCGCCGUCCACAAACCGGCCACCAGCAACAGCCCUUCUCCAGCAUUUCCUUCCCACAGCAGCUGACCACCACACCGACACCCACCGAUCUGUCCAUUCCUCCGCCUCAACACCGCCAGCAACCUCUCACAUUCUCGCAGCAGCUCCAGCGGCCACAGGCUGCAGCAGCAAAGCCAAUUAAAGCCGACGAUCAGACCACUUCGUUCUCCUCCAUCUCCACCGAACCGGACACCAGCAGCUGCACAGCCGUCGACCGAAGCACAUCCACACUGCCGGCCGUUUGAAACAGGGAACAAAGGGGAAACGAAAAGAAACUGAGCUGCGAAGAGAGAUGCAGAUCUGCGGAACAAAAGAGAAAAACACAACUAAAAUCAACUGCUGUUGUGCGUUGUUUCCCUUGUUGCAGGUGUCGGUGACCUUCACCGCCGGAGGAGGAAGACAGGGAAGAAGAAGACGUUCCCGAUCCACUGGUUUUCGGUCUUCAUCGGCGGCGGCGCGUGAACCCACGCGCCUCUAUGGCGGAGGCGCGUGGAGCAACGCGCCACUACUGUUCAGACGACACCAAGGCUGUGCAGCACUGUUCCCGAGGAUUUCUCUGUGUUUUUUGUUGUAACUUUCAGAUGAUGUGUAUAUUUAGAUAUUAUUGUAUUUGAUUUAUUUUGAAUUUUUGUUAUUUGUUUUACAUGUAAAAAUUGUGUAUGUAAAAAACAAAAAAGAAAAGGAAAGGAAAAGAGAAAGAAAAUAUAGUGAAAGUGUAUAGGUGUGUUUGUAUUUGUUUUAUGGAUGUUUUAUUUUUAUUUAAGAUAAAAUUGUAAAGAUUAAAGAAGAAUUUAAUAUUUUGAUUGGAUCA
Molecule: long non-coding RNA, 1333 nt
Organism: Populus trichocarpa (black cottonwood)
Lineage: Eukaryota; Viridiplantae; Streptophyta; Magnoliopsida; Malpighiales; Salicaceae
Exons: 2
Source: RefSeq, a predicted model, not a curated record